Molecule: transfer RNA, 63 nt
Filed under: uncultured Stichotrichia
Lineage: Eukaryota; Ciliophora; Spirotrichea
Rfam family: tRNA
About the family: Transfer RNA (tRNA) molecules are approximately 80 nucleotides in length. Their secondary structure includes four short double-helical elements and three loops (D, anti-codon, and T loops). Further hydrogen bonds mediate the characteristic L-shaped molecular structure. tRNAs have two regions of fundamental functional importance: the anti-codon, which is responsible for specific mRNA codon recognition, and the 3' end, to which the tRNAs corresponding amino acid is attached (by aminoacyl-tRNA synthetases). tRNAs cope with the degeneracy of the genetic code in two manners: having more than one tRNA (with a specific anti-codon) for a particular amino acid; and 'wobble' base-pairing, i.e. permitting non-standard base-pairing at the 3rd anti-codon position.
Source: RNAcentral
CCUAUGGUGUAGUGGUAGCACGAAGGACUCUGAAUCCUUCGACCCGAGUUCGAAUCUCGGUAG